RNAcentral lists this long non-coding RNA (256 nucleotides) under Mus spicilegus (steppe mouse). Its description in RNAcentral is "lncRNA (ENSMSIG00000013155.1)". Lineage: Eukaryota; Metazoa; Chordata; Mammalia; Rodentia; Muridae. The record is from RNAcentral.
GGGAGCUUCUGUUUUGGUUUUCCGUGCAUUAAGGUCCCUACUGUUGGAAGUGAAGACUUUCACCAGGGUAUACAAUGAAAGGGUAUGGUGAAUUUUAAUCUGCUAUGGCUGCCCGUUAAUUUUAGCUCCUUAUAACAGACAAACGAGGAAAAGAAGACAUGAAGGGAUUGUGGGAGUUGAUCAGAACCAUCAGUUAAUUUUUAUCUCUGGAAAAUGUGGUGGCUGUUUAUUCUAUCCUAUGAAAAACCACCCUUGA